Molecule: long non-coding RNA, 559 nt
Filed under: Homo sapiens (human)
Lineage: Eukaryota; Metazoa; Chordata; Mammalia; Primates; Hominidae
Description: non-protein coding lnc-FURIN-3:1
Source: RNAcentral
CUGACAAGAUCAGGGAGAUCGGCCCUGCCAGGAUAUCUUGAGGAGAGAACUUAGCAAGCCCAGUGAGGUGGCUGUCGCAGGGAAGCAGUGUUCCCACCUGUCCCCCAUGUGGCCAGGCCACCAAGGCCCCUUAGAGAGCACUGCCCACUAGUGUGCCUGAAAUGGGCUAUAGAUCCUCUCCUCCCCCAAGCAGGCACCAGGUCCCAGGGCGACCAAUGCCAGCAAGGCCCUGCCAGCCUCAGUCAGCCUGGUCCAUGUGCCCCAGGGGGUUGCCCAUGUAGUCUGUGUGGCAUCAUGUGAACAAGUUGGGAAGUACUGGCCUCAGAGGACUGUUUGCUGACCUCUGACCUCAGGGCAAGAGGUCAAAGGAGCAGGAAUCUUACAAAAUGGGUACAAGGGCACCUCGUGGGCCACCCAGGAACCAGGCCACACCAAAGGCUGCACUGAAAGUACACAGCCAUGCAAGGGGACUGGCAGCUCUCUCCCAAGAGAAAAAUCACCUGCUAGCACCAAGCUGCCAUCAGAGCAGAGGCUCAGCCAUGAAACUAAGCCAACAGAG